Long non-coding RNA from Phascolarctos cinereus (koala), 482 nucleotides. RefSeq lists it as uncharacterized. The record is from RefSeq and is a predicted model, not a curated record. NCBI's taxonomy places the organism in Eukaryota, Metazoa, Chordata, Mammalia, Diprotodontia, Phascolarctidae.
UUGUUCCUGACUCCUGACCCAUAAGUUGCUAGGGGGGCCACUAGUGUUUCCAAAUACUGCCUUAUCACACGACACUGUGAAACACAGAGAGCAGACAAGCUAUGGGGUACUUGUCCAAUAGACUAAAGAUUUUGCACCUGAAAUUUGGAUCACUUUUAUUGCUCACAAAGUUGAGGGAUCUGGAACUUUUCCCCCUCUGCGUGUGGAUGGGAUGGAAUGGAUCUGCCCAGGGUCUGGGAAAAUGUGACCACAUCAAGUCCCAAGCCAGGCAAGAGGACAGAUCUCCAAUCCAAAUCUGCACUGUAGCUGCUACUUCUACAACCCAAAGUAUAAGUUUACAAGAUCUCAUCCUGGAGGUUCUUCUGCAGUUUGAUGCUGCCAGGAUGAAGACAUCUGCAGACAGAAGCAUUUGGAAUACCUGUAUGUUCUUCUACUAAUACCCUCAUCUGCCUCUUCUUCAUGGUCAGGACAAACGCCUUCGG